GACGAACGCUGGCGGCGUGCUUAACACAUGCAAGUCGAACGGAAAGGCCUGCUUUCCCUUGUGGAUUGCGGGUACUCGAGCGGCGAACGGGUGAGUAACACGUGAGUGAUCUGCCCCCAACUUGGGUAUAAGCCCGGGAAACUGGGUCUAAUUCCCGAUAGGACUGCAGGGUGGUGCCUGUGGUGGAAAACGAUUUUCUAGUGGUUGGGGAUGAGCUCGCGGCCUAUCAGCUUGUUGGUGGGGUAAUGGCCUACCAAGGCGGCGACGGGUAGCCGGCCUGAGAGGGUGGACGGCCACAUUGGGACUGAGAUACGGCCCAGACUCCUACGGGAGGCAGCAGUGGGGAAUAUUGCACAAUGGGCGGAAGCCUGAUGCAGCGACGCCGCGUGGGGGAUGACGGCCUUCGGGUUGUAAACUCCUUUCGACCGCGAGGAAGCCACCUGGUUGGAAGGGUGGUGACGGUAGUGGUAGAAGAAGCACCGGCUAACUACGUG
RNAcentral lists this ribosomal RNA (494 nucleotides) under uncultured bacterium. RNAcentral describes it as "partial 16S ribosomal RNA". It matches the Rfam family "Bacterial small subunit ribosomal RNA", at positions 28 to 507 of the family's 1533-position model. The record is from RNAcentral.